This 90-nucleotide transfer RNA is filed under the name Mesorhizobium sp. B2-1-3A. RNAcentral describes it as "tRNA-Sec". It matches the Rfam family "tRNA". From Rfam's summary of the family: Transfer RNA (tRNA) molecules are approximately 80 nucleotides in length. Their secondary structure includes four short double-helical elements and three loops (D, anti-codon, and T loops). Further hydrogen bonds mediate the characteristic L-shaped molecular structure. tRNAs have two regions of fundamental functional importance: the anti-codon, which is responsible for specific mRNA codon recognition, and the 3' end, to which the tRNAs corresponding amino acid is attached (by aminoacyl-tRNA synthetases). tRNAs cope with the degeneracy of the genetic code in two manners: having more than one tRNA (with a specific anti-codon) for a particular amino acid; and 'wobble' base-pairing, i.e. permitting non-standard base-pairing at the 3rd anti-codon position. Lineage: Bacteria; Pseudomonadati; Pseudomonadota; Alphaproteobacteria; Hyphomicrobiales; Phyllobacteriaceae. The record is from RNAcentral.
GAACGGAUGGCCGAGCGGUUUAAGGCACCGGUCUUCAAAACCGGCGUGGGCGCAAGUUCACGGUGGGUUCGGGUCCCACUCCCUCCGCCA